ACAGGUAGAGAAAUCAGUCUCACUUCACCAAUAUAUUGAGGUUUAGCAUCUUUAUUUUUCUUUAAGCCUUAAUGUGGAAAAGAGCCUUUGUCAAAGUGGACAGAAUGAAAAUUUGAUAUGCACUUUUUCUUUCUCUUUAGCAGCUGAAUUUUCAAGAAGAACCAUUCAUUCUCAGCAUAUGAUGAAGGAAAAUAGCAUUUGAAUGCUGUAAGCAGUCAUGAACUGACACCACAUUGGAGCAUUUGAGUAAUUUAAGCUGCUUCUGAAGAUGGAAAAAGAAAAAGAAGAAGCUAUUGCAUUAACAGUUUUCUUCUUCAGGUAGGUGUCUUCAUUAAUUCUCAUUAAUAGCUCAUGAACAAGCAAUAACUGAAUCCUACAGAUAGUUACACAUUUAAAUACAUUUCAGUCAGGGGUUUUACCAUACUGAUUUUCUAGUUCCAUCUUUGCAGAGGUGGGUGCUUUAGUUAGCCUGGAGAGGACUAAGAAUUCUUAAACAUUAGAAGACAAGAAUUUUUAUUUUACAUGUACACAGAAGC
Molecule: long non-coding RNA, 536 nt
Filed under: Junco hyemalis (dark-eyed junco)
Lineage: Eukaryota; Metazoa; Chordata; Aves; Passeriformes; Passerellidae
Description: lncRNA (ENSJHYG00000015693.1)
Source: RNAcentral